UAAGGAAUAUUGGGCAAUGGGCGGAAGCCUGACCCAGCCACGCCGCGUGGAGGACGAAGGCGCCAAGCGUUGUAAACUCCUUUUGCAUGGGACGAACGUCCCGGACUUGUCCGGGAGUGACGGUACCAUGAGAAUAAGCACCGGCUAACUCCGUGCCAGCAGCCGCGGUAAUACGGAGGGUGCGAGCGUUAUCCGGAAUCACUGGGUUUAAAGGGUACGUAGGCCGGCUCGUAAGUCAGGGGUGAAAGGCCGCGGCUCAACCGCGGGACUGCCCUUGAUACUGCGGGCCUUGAGUUCGGAUGAGGGCGGCGGAAUGGUACAUGUAGCGGUGAAAUGCUUAGAUAUGUACCGGAACACCGAUUGCGAAGGCAGCCGCCCGGGCCGCGACUGACGCUGAGGU
RNAcentral lists this ribosomal RNA (400 nucleotides) under uncultured bacterium. Its description in RNAcentral is "bacterial SSU rRNA". It matches the Rfam family "Bacterial small subunit ribosomal RNA", at positions 355 to 752 of the family's 1533-position model. The record is from RNAcentral.